UUAAUACCGGAUAGAUCAAAGAUACUGGAAUGUUCUCUGGUCCAAAACUCCGGUGCCCAAGGAUGGGUCUGCGGCCUAUCAGGUAGUAGUGGGUGUAACGUACCUACUAGCCAGCGACGGGUAAGGGUUGUGAGAGCAAGAUCCCUGAGAUGGAUUCUGAGACAUGAAUCCAGGCCCUACGGGGUGCAGCAGGCGCGAAAACUUUACACUGCGGGAAACCGCGAUAAGGGGACCCCGAGUGCCAGCACCUAGUGCUGGCUGUCCUACUGUCUAAAUAACAGUGGUUAGCAAGGGCCGGGCAAGACCGGUGCCAGCCGCCGCGGUAACACCGGCGGCCCGAGUGGUAACCGUUUUUAUUGGGUUUAAAGGGUCCGUAGCCGGCUUAUUAAGUCUCUUGGGAAAUCUGGCGGCUCAAUCGUCAGGCGUUA
RNAcentral lists this ribosomal RNA (428 nucleotides) under uncultured archaeon. RNAcentral describes it as "bacterial SSU rRNA". It matches the Rfam family "Archaeal small subunit ribosomal RNA", at positions 146 to 575 of the family's 1478-position model. The record is from RNAcentral.